This is a long non-coding RNA of Hemiscyllium ocellatum (epaulette shark), 733 nucleotides long. RefSeq lists it as uncharacterized. Lineage: Eukaryota; Metazoa; Chordata; Chondrichthyes; Orectolobiformes; Hemiscylliidae. The transcript has 3 exons. The record is from RefSeq and is a predicted model, not a curated record.
UGAUCGAGAUACCUCAAUGUCCCGGCUCCGCCGGGCAUGGAGCGACCCCAGAUUGUCCGCCUCUUAAUCCCUAAGAAUGAAGCCUAUUGCUACCGGCUGCCCCUUCAGUGUCUGAUGGGGACUCUGACAAGUUAAUGAAAAGCUCUAGGUGCAGCUUUAGAUUUGCACGCCGUUCCCGCCCUCCCUUUCAAGUCAGGACCUUUCCGUUGAAAUGUGAAUGUAGUCUAAAGGUGAUCUAGCGCAAAGAUAAUGUACUUAAUCCUCGAUUAUACUUUAGAAAUCACGGCCACGAUAAAUACUGAGCAGAAAUCAGAACGAACUUUGGGGGCAGGUGGAAUGUGAGUAGUACAGGAAUCUUAAAUUUAGUUUUUCCGAUUUUCAAUUUGCAGCCGGUUGGGAGGGCACGGCCGUGUGGAACUGAGAGUAGAUUACAGUGAGAGAAACGAAUUUGUUCGAGGGAGUGGAGAAAAUAGUUUUUCAGUCGUUCCUGGUUCACAACAAAUGGAAAUUACUCCAGCCCUUCUUGCCUCACUUCCGCUUUCUGAAACUCAGACUGCGUAGAGACAUUAAAGUUAAAGAAAAGACCAUAUCGAGAACAAUGGACACAGUAAAUGAUGUGUGGAGGCGCAGAAAAACCUCUGUCGGAUGUGGAAGGAUCCUUUGGGGCCUUCGAUGGAGGAAUCAGUUUGACGAUUUUGAAUCAUGUUUGAUAUGCUAUAUCCUUUAAGCAAGG